This 366-nucleotide ribosomal RNA is filed under the name Triticum aestivum (bread wheat). RNAcentral's name for it is "partial small subunit ribosomal RNA". Lineage: Eukaryota; Viridiplantae; Streptophyta; Magnoliopsida; Poales; Poaceae. The record is from RNAcentral.
AUGGUUAACGAGGCGAUCUCCCUCGGCACUUGGACACGGGACAUCAGCCCCGAUAUGGCAUUCAUAGCUCUGGUGGACUACUUGGGGGUACGGCCACGUCUGCAAGGGUUCCAGUUACAGGAGAAUGUCCUCGACUCCAUCUCUUGGUCGUGGGAAUCAAACGGACAGUUCUCGGUCUGCUCCGCCUACGCUGCUUUGUUCGCCGGUAGGGAAGUGGUACCAACCGCGGACUUCUCAUGGAGGUCUCGGGCCCCUCUCCAGUGUCGUUUCUUCACCUGGCUAGCUAUGAGAAAUUGAUGUUGGACUUCUGACCGACUCGCCCGACAUGGACUUCUGCAUCAAGAUGCGUGUCCUUUCUGUGACUAG